Molecule: unclassified non-coding RNA, 349 nt
Filed under: soil metagenome
Description: partial contains 5.8S ribosomal RNA, internal transcribed spacer 2, and large subunit ribosomal RNA
Rfam family: 5.8S ribosomal RNA (bases 1-120)
Source: RNAcentral
GAUGAAGAACGCAGCGAAAUGCGAUAACUAAUGUGAAUUGCAGAAUUCCGUGAAUCAUCGAGUCUUUGAACGCACAUUGCGCCCCCUGGUAUUCCGGGGGGCAUGCCUGUCCGAGCGUCAUUGCUGCCCAUCAAGCACGGCUUGUGUGUUGGGUCCUCGUCCCCCCCGGGGGACGUGCUCGAAAGGCAGCGGCGGCACCGCGUCCGGUCCUCGAGCGUAUGGGGCUUUGUCACCCGCUCUGCAGGCCCGGCCGGCGCUGGCCGACGCGAAAGCAACCAUUUUUUCUCCAGGUUGACCUCGGAUCAGGUAGGGAUACCCGCUGAACUUAAGCAUAUCAAUAAGCGGAGGA